This 591-nucleotide ribosomal RNA is filed under the name Lacticaseibacillus paracasei. Its description in RNAcentral is "bacterial SSU rRNA". It matches the Rfam family "Bacterial small subunit ribosomal RNA", at positions 371 to 951 of the family's 1533-position model. The record is from RNAcentral. Lineage: Bacteria; Bacillati; Bacillota; Bacilli; Lactobacillales; Lactobacillaceae.
AUGGACGCAAGUCUGAUGGAGCAACGCCGCGUGAGUGAAGAAGGCUUUCGGGUCGUAAAACUCUGUUGUUGGAGAAGAAUGGUCGGCAGAGUAACUGUUGUCGGCGUGACGGUAUCCAACCAGAAAGCCACGGCUAACUACGUUGCCAGCAGCCGCGGUAAUACGUAGGUGGCAAGCGUUAUCCGGAUUUAUUGGGCGUAAAGCGAGCGCAGGCGGUUUUUUAAGUCUGAUGUGAAAGCCCUCGGCUUAACCGAGGAAGCGCAUCGGAAACUGGGAAACUUGAGUGCAGAAGAGGACAGUGGAACUCCAUGUGUAGCGGUGAAAUGCGUAGAUAUAUGGAAGAACACCAGUGGCGAAGGCGGCUGUCUGGUCUGUAACUGACGCUGAGGCUCGAAAGCAUGGGUAGCGAACAGGAUUAGAUACCCUGGUAGUCCAUGCCGUAAACGAUGAAUGCUAGGUGUUGGAGGGUUUCCGCCCUUCAGUGCCGCAGCUAACGCAUUAAGCAUUCCGCCUGGGGAGUACGACCGCAAGGUUGAAACUCAAAGGAAUUGACGGGGGCCCGCACCAAGCGGUGGAGCAUGUGGUUUAAUU